RNAcentral lists this transfer RNA (77 nucleotides) under Pseudomonas aeruginosa. RNAcentral's name for it is "tRNA-Val". It matches the Rfam family "tRNA". Rfam says of the family: Transfer RNA (tRNA) molecules are approximately 80 nucleotides in length. Their secondary structure includes four short double-helical elements and three loops (D, anti-codon, and T loops). Lineage: Bacteria; Pseudomonadati; Pseudomonadota; Gammaproteobacteria; Pseudomonadales; Pseudomonadaceae. The record is from RNAcentral.
AGGCACGUAGCUCAGUUGGUUAGAGCACCACCUUGACAUGGUGGGGGUCGUUGGUUCGAAUCCAAACGUGCCUACCA